AAAAAAUGAAAAAAAAAAAAAGAAGAAGAAGAAGAAGCAAAAACUUGGAAAAAAACCAAACAGUUAUCAUGUUUUCAUCUUUGCCUCCGUUCCUAAAAAAAUAACAAGAAAAGUAAACCUAAAAAAUCACAUGUUGUCUCCGUUCUCACUGUUCUUCCUGAUGAACCCAUCCAUCGUUACCUCGAUUCGUCUUUAAUCUUAAAAAAGCUGAUGGAUUCAGGAUUUUGCAGUUUUUGAUUGCAUCUAGGGUUGGUGUUUUUCCUCCUUUGCAUAAGAGCAGGAGCCUGGAGCGAUUGUUGGAAUAACUGCAGCGAUCAAAACGUAUCCCACGUGCGAUGAUGUUGAUAUGGUAAUGGCUAAUCGAAUUUGAAUUGCCGCUCAAUUAAUAGAAAAUGUUGACUGUUUUUCCUGAUAUGCACUGCAGCAACAUUUUUUGCACUAGAUAUUAAAGCGGCUGAGCAUGUUUGCACAAAAGUAUUUUGUGUUGGUACAGAUCAACUCAUCUUGAUAGUAUAUCUCUGAACCCACUGCUUUGUACACAGUACAUGUUAACAUGUUCGUGCAGAACUUUCCUUGAAACUGCAAGGUUACAGUAUAGGACUUCCUAUUGGUAGUUCUUCAAGAAGGAUAAGUAUUUGGGAUCCGGUUAUUGAUAGGCUAAAGAAAAGGCUCGCGCGAUGGAAACGGCAAUACUUAUCGAAAGGAGGGAGGUUGAUCCUUCUUAAGAGUGUUUUAAGCUCGAUGCCAAUAUAUUAUCUCUCUUUAUUUGCAAUUCCAGCAUCAGUAGCAAAUACAUUGGAAAAAAUCAUGCGUAAUUUUCUUUGGGGAGACUCUGAAAAUGGAAAGAAGAUGCAUUGGGUCUUAUGGUGAAAGGUGUGCAGGUCAAAAAAAGAAGGUGACUUAGGGGUUAAAUCUGUAAGAUUAAUGAACCAAGCCCUGUUAACUAAGUCGCUUUGGAGAUAUGGAAAAGAGAAAUCUAGUCUAUGGCGCAAAAUCAUCCAAGAGAAGUGCGGAGGUGAUGAAGAGGCAUGGACUGCUCCACAAACAAACCAGACUCAAGGGUGUGGGUUAUGGAAAAAUAUUCUUAAGCAAUCAAAUUGUUUGAAAAGUGGGACUAAGCAAAUUGUAUCGAGUGGUAAGAACGUUCGUUUUUGGGAAGAUAGUUGGAAAACAGCAAACCCUUGAAGGAGCUCUAUCCUAAAAUUUGGAGAAAGUCGAGCAAGAAAGGAAGAGUGAUACACAGAAUGGUGAACAGAAAUGGGUUGCAAACUCCAUCAUGGGAUUUAGGCUUUAAAUCGGGUUUCAGAGAAGAAAAUAUAAGUGAUGUUGCUGCGCUCAUUGAAACUAUUGGGGAUCCUAGCAAUUUAGGAACAAAAGAAGAUACAAGGUCAUGGACUCCGGGUAAAAAUGGAGAAUUCUCAGUUUCUUCUUGUUACGAAAUGAUUGAUGGACAACAACAGUUACGAGGACAAGCUCAAGCAAGACAACGCAGAAUGCCGUCGAAUUACAUUUGGAAUUCAGCCAUCCCAACGAAAGUGUCAUUUCUAGUUUAGGCUGCAGCAAUGAAUGGAUUACCAACUAUUGAUCGUUUACGUCGAAGAGGGAUGGCAAUCACAAACAUUAACUGUUGUCUGUGUCAUCAAGAACACGAAUCAAUUUCACACAUCUUUAUUCAAUGUGAGUUUGCAAAGAAAGUGUGGGAUCAUUUCUUAAACUUGUUGGAAAUUAGAUGGAGGCCGCCAGAUUCAUGUAUGGAUUUCGUUGUGUCUUGGCAGUUGAAAUUCAGGACCGAACCAAGGGAAUUUCUUAAAUUCUGUUUGCCCUUCGCCAUAUGGCAGCAAAUCUGGGAGGAAAGGAACGAUAGAGUUUCCCGCAACAAGGAAAAAAUAGUAGAAAGGGUUAUUAUUCAAGUGAAGGCUUCCUUAUUCAGUUGGGCGAGAGUUCAUGAAUCCUUUAAGCAUUUUAAGUUUGUGGAUUUCAUGCACGGUUGAGAGGUUUUUAAGUAGUAACUAGCUUCAAACAUGUAGUAGGGGAAAUGUUUUUUUGUUCCAUGUUUUACACUCCCCUUUACUCGUUUUGUGUUGUCCAGUUUGAAUAGCCGUGUGUUGUUUCUUUUAGUGCUAGCUCAACACUCUCUAGUGAAUGAGUUUUAUCUUCUCCAAAAGAAAAAGUUCU
This is a long non-coding RNA of Papaver somniferum (opium poppy), 2175 nucleotides long. RefSeq lists it as uncharacterized. The record is from RefSeq and is a predicted model, not a curated record. The transcript is spliced from 3 exons. Lineage: Eukaryota; Viridiplantae; Streptophyta; Magnoliopsida; Ranunculales; Papaveraceae.